CGUCACGUCGCUCGUCGCAGCCGUCGAGUGCCAACGCGCGCUGCUCGCUGGAACGGACCGCCGGGUCUCAUGAGGGUCUGCGUGCAGCACAACAGGUGGCAGGAAGGCAGCGCAGUCGUCAGCAAGCUCAACGAACUGAUGGCCACGGUCGACCCGUUCUCCGACAGACGCAUGCAGACGCCAGAGAGUGAGAUGACAUCCACGUGAGGCAGUCGCGUCUUGCCGUCGCGCGACCAGCAGAAAACUUCGUCCCCUCUCUAUUACCGAUUGUUACUCUACUCUACUGCCGAUUGUUAGUCUGCUGGGUUCCUAAAUCCGCCAGUACAAAGUUCGUCCACUCUCUACUACCGAUUGUUACUACGCUAGAUUACUAAAUCUGCUAAUACAAAGUUCGUUACCUCUCUACUACCGAUUGUUACUACGCUAGAUUACUAAAUCUGCUAAUACAAAGUUCCUCCCCUAUCUACUACCGAUUGUUACUACGCUAUAUUAUUAAAUCUGCUAAUACAAAGUUCGUUACCUCUCUACUACCGAUUGUUACUAUGCUAGACUACUAAAUCCGCCAGUACAGUUUGUUCCCUAUCUACUACCGAUUGUUACUACGCUAGCUUACUAAACGUGUUUCCACGUCACGAUUCUUGUUCGGAUUUUGUCAGAUCUACUUGUACCACCGCAACUGCAUGUAAACCGGUUGAAGUGAGAGGAGAAGGGUUGUGGGUGGGGGGUUACUUAAAUUUAAUUUAAUUAAAACACCUCGUUAUUUACCACUCAUUAGACUUGCAUACAAACUUGGGUGUCACUUUCCCCCGGGCGUAGAUGGACGGAGCCGUUACGUGGCAGCACUAGUCACUUCGUACGCUUCAAAGUCCAAAUCUUCCACCGAAAGAUUCCACGGUCAUACUUCUGUGCUAGACAUGGCCUUAUUUCCCUAACCCUAACCCUAACCUACGCCCGGGGGAAAGUUAAUCUGCCUACAAACACUUUGUGUGUCUAAGUAAAAAUUCACGGCUGUAGCAUUAAUGCACCCUGAACUCUUUGAAUAAAAAAUAGUGCCAAGAGUUUGGAGUUGACGUAAUGUUACCUUGAUGGAAAAUUCUGAUUAAAUACGUGAAAAAA
Molecule: long non-coding RNA, 1116 nt
Organism: Priapulus caudatus
Lineage: Eukaryota; Metazoa; Priapulida; Priapulimorpha; Priapulimorphida; Priapulidae
Exons: 2
Source: RefSeq, a predicted model, not a curated record